CGGGUGAGUAACGCGUGAGCAAUCUGCCCAUAUCAGGGGAAUAACAGUUAGAAAUGACUGCUAAUACCGCAUAGGACCACGGGGAGGCAUCUCUCUGAGGUGAAAGAUUUAUCGGAUAUGGAUGAGCCCGCGUCCCAUUAGGUAGUUGGUGAGGUAACGGCCCACCAAGCCGACGAUGGGUAGCCGGCCUUAGAGGGUGAUCGGCCACAUUGGAACUGAGACACGGUCCAAACUCCUACGGGAGGCAGCAG
This 251-nucleotide ribosomal RNA is filed under the name uncultured bacterium. Its description in RNAcentral is "partial 16S ribosomal RNA". It matches the Rfam family "Bacterial small subunit ribosomal RNA", at positions 103 to 354 of the family's 1533-position model. The record is from RNAcentral.